UACGGAGGGUGCGAGCGUUGUCCGGAUUUAUUGGGUUUAAAGGGUGCGUAGGCGGUCAAUUAAGUCAGUGGUGAAAUCCUAUAGCUUAACUAUAGAACUGCCAUUGAUACUGGUUGACUUGAGUACAGACGAGUAGGCGGAAUUUAUGGUGUAGCGGUGAAAUGCAUAGAUACCAUAAAGAACACCGAUAGCGAAGGCAG
This 200-nucleotide ribosomal RNA is filed under the name uncultured bacterium. RNAcentral's name for it is "partial 16S ribosomal RNA". It matches the Rfam family "Bacterial small subunit ribosomal RNA", at positions 524 to 724 of the family's 1533-position model. The record is from RNAcentral.